GACGAACGCUGGCGGCGUGCUUAACACAUGCAAGUCGAACGGAAAGGCCCUGCUUUUGUGGGGUGCUCGAGUGGCGAACGGGUGAGUAACACGUGAGUAACCUGCCCUUGACUUUGGGGUAACUUCAGGAAACUGGGGCUAAUACCGGAUAGGAGCUCCUGCUGCGUGGUGGGGGUUGGAAAGUUUCGGCGGUUGGGGAUGGACUCGCAGCUUAUGAGCUUGUUGGUGGAGUAGUGGCUUACCAAGGCUUUGACGGGUAGCCGGCCUGAGAGGGUGACCGGCCACAAUGGGCCUGCGAUACGGCCCAGAAUGCUACGGGAGGCAGCAGUGGGGAAUAUUGCACAAUGGGCGGAAGCCUGAUGCAGCAACGCCGCGUGCGGGAUGACGGCCUUCGGGUUGUAAACCGAUUUCGCCUGUGACGAAGCGUGCGUGACGGUAAUGGGUAAAGAAGCACCGGCUAACUACGUG
Molecule: ribosomal RNA, 468 nt
Filed under: uncultured bacterium
Lineage: Bacteria
Description: partial 16S ribosomal RNA
Rfam family: Bacterial small subunit ribosomal RNA
Source: RNAcentral